GGGGAGCCCAGUGUGGAGCUUGGACCCCUUGCUCCUCAGGGAAGACUUCCAGAGCUAAGAUAUCUCUCCUGAUUUCUUAACUUCCACAUGUGGGUGUGGGACCAGCUCUUUAACAUCUCUGCCCCUCUUGCCAGUCUGGACAUGGCUUCUUGCUAUCUUUAGUUACACGAAUUCUAUUCAGCUAGUUUUUCGGUGGUUUUCAAAGGUGGUUUUUCUAUAAGUUAGUUGUAAUUUUGAUGUAGCCCUGCGAGGAGGUGAACAAAGUUUACUUACUCAGUUAUCUUGACCAAAGGAGAACUUUUCAGAUCUAUUCUCUUCAGGCCUCAAGUUUGCACACCAGGAGAGCAGUCCUCUGCUAGGAGAAUGACGAGCAGGUCUUUGCAGGUUCUGAUGGUCCCAGAAGUGGUACUUAGGGCGCACGGCCUCCUGGUGGACCAGAGCAGGGCUUUCUAAAGUGCAAUGCCCCUGUAGGGUGGUGCUGCACCUGUUUGUGUCCUAUAAAAUUCUGACAUUUAAAAAUAUAGGAAGACCAUCAAGUAAAAUUUAAAUCAACGUUUAAAGAAAAUAUAAACAGAAGUAAAAGUUAGUACUUAACAUCUUUCUUGUUCUUUUAAAAAUGUGACAUAAAAACAAAUAGGAAAGACUGUAAGUCAACCAUUCAUUUAGAUCUGAAGAGUAUUGAUCCUGAAGUCAUUUCCUUUCUUUUCUCCACAGUGAAUUCAUCUUCAUUGUAUCUGUCAUCUGUUCCCUCUUAAGGCAGAUAUGAAGGGCACAUAGCAAGAGUGUUGGUCAGUAUCUCUAUUUCCAGAGCAACAAGUUUCUGUCCCUGAUGACCCCAAUUGCAAUGGCUAAUUACGCAUUGACCUUGUCUAGUCUGAAAUCCAUUUAGUAGAAUGGAUUUGUACGCUCUUAAAGAUAGGCACUGUAGGAAGAGAUGGAGGAGUUGACCACAAGGAAUAGGCUUAUUAUUAUUGAAAUGUUCCUCCUUUUUCCAGCUUGGUUCUCCAGGCAUGAGGGUGGACAGAAGAUCUUAGUGACUCAUAGCUUCUAGAGAACAAAUCCAACAGCUAAAGUCACAUUUUCCUUCAGUAGCUUGAGCAUUACAUUCUUUAGGGAGGAGUAGGGAUACUGUAUUGCUAAGCACUAGGCAAGAAGUUGGUUGCAAAUUUCUGGUUUCCAUUUGACACAUGCCCAAGCAGAGCCAGACAAGCACAUGGAAUUUUGUGGUUAUCUGGCGGAUGGUGAGGAAAGGCAUCAGAGAAUAAUUGCUAUUUUGCAUCUGUGAUAAUUUUCCUCUACUCACUGGUCAGGACAUGUAUGGAACUGCACAUUUUAUUAUUUAUAUAUUAUCUGGAACUGCAUAUCCUAUUAUUAUCUGUGGUGGGUAAUAAAAUGAAGCUUCAAGAGGUGUGGCACAGCUGAGCCUGUGGCUGACAUCCUAGAGGAGAAAGGAGCAGUUCUGGUUGGGCACAGUAGAUGGCUAACCCCAGGCUUGGCCAUAUGAGCUGUGUGUUUUGAGUUGUGGAACUAGGAGCUGCUGAGGUAGGUUCACCUUGGAUAAGUCAUACUGAUAUCUGUUUUCCACAAUUGCUUCUUUAUCACCAUAGCUGCAUCUUGUGACAACUGUCAUUUAAUUAGUUUUCUCCUUUCCUGCACAGAAAAGAGAUAUGAUUGGUGUGGUCAGAUGCAAAUUUAGAGUUCUGCACUUGUGUAACUGUAUCAGUGAUGAAUUUAGCAGCUUAAUACUAGAAACAUUAUCUCCCAAUACAGAUGAACUGAGUCUUCUGGCUCUGGGUCUCUCAAAAGGCUGUAGUUGGGGAGCCAUCCUGGACUAGAGUCUCUUCCAUGCUCACUUAGAUGGCUAGGGAAAGACUCAGAUCCUCCUGGGCCAUUGAACUGAGGGCCUCUCUCAGUUCCUUGACAUGUGGGCCACUCCAUAAGGCAGCUCACAACAUGGCAGCUGGCUUUCUUCUGGGCAAGCAAGCAAAAGAGCAAGACUGCAAGACAGAAGAAGCCAGAGUCUUUUUUUCUUUUUCUUUUUAAAGCCAGAGUCUUUUUGGAACAAUAUCAGAAGUGACAUCCCACUACUCUUGCCAUAUUAUAUUCAUUAGAAGUGAGUCACUGCUCUGAUCUAUAUUCAAGGGGAGGGUGAUGGAAUGAAUACCAGGAGGAGGGGAUCCCUGGGAGCCAUCUUGGAAGCUGCCCACCAUAACAAUUACAUUUUUUUUGACAAUAUUCAGUUAUAAUAAUAUCUUUUCAAAUAGAAGGAUUUUAAAAAUUACUGACUUUACUAUAUCUGUGUCAGAAACCCAAUGCAUGUUGCCCAGCUAUAGGAUGUUAUAUUAAGACAAUGAUGACACUGAUGUAAGCCACUCUUGUAGCAAACAACCUUGUUACUGCAGAACAUUUUUAGUGAUCCGCUCUUUCUUACAUAGAGUUCUGCUAGCUUUCAUCUAAGUUUCUUAGCAGUUGCCACCAGAAUCAUAAAAUGACGCAGCUAACAAACAAUUUUUGUUUUUGUUAGCGUUUCACAGCAUGGAAAUGCUAAAAGAGGAAAUGACGUGUUCAUGGACAUACAGCUUGGUAUAGUGUGGCUGAGCCCAUGUUAGGUUUCAGUGAACUUAACAUUGCUUUUAGGACAGGGCUAGUUGCACUGCUUCACCUGGGUGACCUGAACAUGGAUGAAGAUCAAGAAAACUAAGAUGGAAAAUAAGGUGAGGGAAGAAAAAAGUGAAAGAUAAAAAGUAGAGAGGAAAAAAUUCAAAGAAAGAAACAAAUAGGGGGUCAGAAGAAGAGCAAGGAGAAAGGCUAAAAACAUAUUCACUGCAGGUGCCACUGGAGGGCUCCAUGACUUUCCAAUAUAGCUGCUUUAAUGAGAUGACAUUCUUAGGCAUCUAGCAACACACAUUAUAGUGCGCUGUCAUUGAAAGGCAGAAGCACAGUAGGUAAGACUGUAGAUCCUAAAGCUGGAAUGUCCAGGCUUGAAUCCCAGCCCUGCUACUGGGUUGUGUGACCUCUGCAAGUUACUUAGUCCCAGUUUCCUUGUUUUCUACAAUGGGGAUAAUUCUAGUACACACUGCAUGGGAUUGCCAUGGAAUUAAAUGAAUUUAUCACUGUAAGUGCAAAGAACAGUGCUGGGCACAUUGAAAAAUGUCCUAAACUGUGUUGGAGAUGGAGUGAAUCUUGGGAUAGAGAACAAAGUAAGGCUCAGGGAUGGAAUAAGGCUUGGCAGUUAAGGUAAGGUGUGUCAGUAUGCAGUCAGAUCAGAAUGCCGUAUACAUCACCAAGCAAAUCAAGUAGAUAGUUCUUUUGCCCACUCAGGCAUCUUUCUAAUCCUUUUCCAGAUCAUUCCCCUUUCUCUUCAUGCUCUCUUCUUUUCAGCUCCUUGUGCAGCAGCUGUUUGGUUGUUCCUGUCACUCACCCUCUCAGGACACUAAUCCCCAAUAUGUAGAGCUGAAAUGAAAUUGGAACUACAUAAUAAUUUCAUAAUACAAGUAUUAUAUAUAUUAAAUCAAAAUUAUUUAAUUUUGUUGGUGCUGUCACUGUAGUUGUGUUUCUUCCAGAGCUUUUCCCUUCUGCUGUCUUUGUUCUUUUUAUUGAAGGAAUAUUCAUAUGACAAAACAUCUGAUUAAACAAUUACUUUUCAAACUAGAAUUUGCUGAAUACCUAUUAUGUCCUAGACCCUGUGCAGUGUUUUAAGUUGACCCUUACAAUAACUUUGUACAUUAAGUAUUGCUAUUCUACCUGUAGAGAUAGGAAAACUCUACCUAGAGAAGUUGUCACUUACCUGAGAUUCUGUCAUGUCUUCACUCCUUCAACAACAACUGAGUACCUCUGCAUGGUAGGCAGUCUCCAAAGGCCCAGGACUGACCUGGACCUCCCUAGGCUCCAUGCACCAUGGCUGGGGUCUAAGAGUAAGACCCAUUCAAAGCAGCAGUUGGAGUUGUUUAAGAAAGAUCCUUAUGAGGUUGUAACAUUGGGGAACACAAGCAGUACUUCAGUGCCCAGGGGACAAAUUGCUACACAGAACUAGGGCAAGAACUGAAGAGGGUAGAGUGCCGUUUUUCCCACCUCACAGGUUUGCCAUGUGGGUGCCCUGGAAAGGAAUGCCAUCAAGGAAUCUGACUCACAGUGGCUGAGUGAAGGGGCACCCUUGGCAUGCCAGAGUGCAGAGCAGAAGAACAUGCAGUACAACCCCAGGCAAUUACUGGGAUUGGGAAUUGUACUAAGGAGGGAAUUGAGGGCUCUGAGGUCCUUUACACAGGUAGGAAUGAUGAGUCAGUGAGAGUUUAAUUAUGCUUAUCUGUGGUUCUAUUUUAUGUUAGUCUGGAA
Phyllostomus discolor (pale spear-nosed bat) is the source of this 4332-nucleotide long non-coding RNA. RefSeq lists it as uncharacterized. Lineage: Eukaryota; Metazoa; Chordata; Mammalia; Chiroptera; Phyllostomidae. The record is from RefSeq and is a predicted model, not a curated record. The transcript has 2 exons.